RNAcentral lists this ribosomal RNA (303 nucleotides) under uncultured bacterium. RNAcentral's name for it is "partial 16S ribosomal RNA". It matches the Rfam family "Bacterial small subunit ribosomal RNA", at positions 507 to 807 of the family's 1533-position model. The record is from RNAcentral.
AGCAGCAGCCACGGUAAUACGUAGGGUGCAAGCGUUAAUCAGAAUUACUGGGCGUAAAGCGUGCGCAGGCGGUUUGUUAAGACAGAUGUGAAAUCCCCGGGCUCAACCUGGGAACUGCAUUUGAGACUGUAUGGCUAGAGUGUGUCAGAGGGGGGUAGAAUUCCACGUGUAGCAGUGAAAUGCGUAGAUAUGUGGAGGAAUACCGAUGGCGAAGGCAGCCCCCUGGGAUAACACUGACGCUCAUGCACGAAAGCGUGGGGAGCAAACAGGAUUAGAUACCCCCGUAGUCCCUGUCUCUUAUAC